AAGAAUUUGCAUAUUCAGCUUAUAUUUGCUUGGCUCAUUGUGCUAAUAACGAGGACCAUGGUAGCAGUCAUGACUGCACAUGACCCCAAAUCUAAAGAUAACCAAUUAUCAGUGUGUUUCAAAAUGCUAUAUAUUUGAGUUGAAUUUCAAUACUAUAUAUUUUACGUGCUAUAUAUUUGAGUUGAAUUUCAAUACUAUAUAUUUUACGUGCUCAUACUGUUUAAGCUUGGCUAAUCUGUGCUUAUUU
RNAcentral lists this unclassified non-coding RNA (247 nucleotides) under Hevea brasiliensis (rubber tree). Lineage: Eukaryota; Viridiplantae; Streptophyta; Magnoliopsida; Malpighiales; Euphorbiaceae. The record is from RNAcentral.